AGCGAACGCUGGCGGCAGGCUUAACACAUGCAAGUCGAGCGGGCACUUCGGUGUCAGCGGCAGACGGGUGAGUAACACGUGGGAACGUACCCUUCGGUUCGGAAUAACGCUGGGAAACUAGCGCUAAUACCGGAUACGCCCUUUUGGGGAAAGGUUUACUGCCGAAGGAUCGGCCCGCGUCUGAUUAGCUAGUUGGUGGGGUAAUGGUCUACCAAGGCGACGAUCAGUAGCUGGUCUGAGAGGAUGAUCAGCCACACUGGGACUGAGACACGGCCCAGACUCCUACGGGAGGCAGCAGUGGGGAAUAUUGGACAAUGGGCGCAAGCCUGAUCCAGCCAUGCCGCGUGAGUGAUGAAGGCCUUAGGGUUGUAAAGCUCUUUUGUCCGGGACGAUAAUGACGGUACCGGAAGAAUAAGCCCCGGCUAACUUCGUG
This 433-nucleotide ribosomal RNA is filed under the name uncultured bacterium. Its description in RNAcentral is "partial 16S ribosomal RNA". It matches the Rfam family "Bacterial small subunit ribosomal RNA", at positions 29 to 507 of the family's 1533-position model. The record is from RNAcentral.